This 107-nucleotide small RNA is filed under the name Marmota monax (woodchuck). The record is from RNAcentral. Lineage: Eukaryota; Metazoa; Chordata; Mammalia; Rodentia; Sciuridae.
GCAGGACAUGGUUGUGCAUGCCUGUAACCCCAGCUACAUGGGAGGCUAAGGUAGGAGGAUCAUGAGUUCAAGGACAGCUUGGACAAUUUAAUGAGACUUUGCCUCAA